Molecule: unclassified non-coding RNA, 616 nt
Filed under: Malassezia sympodialis
Lineage: Eukaryota; Fungi; Basidiomycota; Malasseziomycetes; Malasseziales; Malasseziaceae
Description: sequence contains 18S rRNA gene, ITS1, 5.8S rRNA gene, ITS2, 28S rRNA gene
Rfam family: 5.8S ribosomal RNA (bases 173-326)
Source: RNAcentral
GAUCAUUAGUGAAAGUUUCGGGCCUGCCAUACGGACGCAAACACGUCUCUGGCGCCCAUCACUAUAUCCAUACCAACCCCUGUGCACUGUGAUGACGAAUGUCAUCGAACAAAAAAAAACUCGUAUGGUUGAAUGUACGUGAAAUUGUAGGUAUAGCCUACGAACUAUACACAACUUUCGACAACGGAUCUCUUGGUUCUCCCAUCGAUGAAGAACGCAGCGAAACGCGAUAGGUAAUGUGAAUUGCAGAAUUCCGUGAAUCAUCGAAUCUUUGAACGCACCUUGCGCUCCAUGGUAUUCCGUGGAGCAUGCCUGUUUGAGUGCCGCGAAUUCUCCCUCCCCUUACGGUGGCCGAAAGGCCGAAGUAGGGCGGACGGGGUAGGAUGGGUGUUUGCUGCCUGGGGAUUGUACCAGGCUCGCCCGAAAUGCAUAAGCGCCAGGACCCUCGCUACCGCUCUCUAGGGAAGAGUGGCUAAGCGACCGCUGAGCAUGGCAUGAUACGUCAUUUGCUGUGUGUGGGCGGCCGGUUGGAGAGGUGUCUGCUUUACCAGCCCUAUUUUAAUUCUGGUCUCAAAUCAGGUAGGAUCACCCGCUGAACUUAAGCAUAUCAAUAAGC